AACGAACGCUGGCGGCAUGCCUAACACAUGCAAGUCGAACGAGACCUUCGGGUCUAGUUGCGCACGGGUGCGUAACGCGUGGGAACCUUCCCUUAGGCUCGGAAUAACUCCCCGAAAGGGGUGCUAAUACCGGAUAAUGUCUUCGGACCAAAGAUUUAUCGCCUUUGGAUGGGCCCGCGUUGUAUUAGCUAGUUGGUAGGGUAAAAGCCUACCAAGGCGACGAUCCAUAGCUGGUCUGAGAGGAUGAUCAGCGACACUGGGACUGAGACACGGCCCAGACUCCUACGGGAGGGAGCAGUGGGGAAUAUUGGACAAUGGGCGAAAGCCUGAUCCAGCAAUGCCGCGUGAGUGAUGAAGGCCUUAGGGUUGUAAAGCUCUUUUACCCGGGAUGAUAAUGACAGUACCGGGAGAAUAAGCACCGGCUAACUCCGUG
RNAcentral lists this ribosomal RNA (433 nucleotides) under uncultured bacterium. RNAcentral describes it as "partial 16S ribosomal RNA". It matches the Rfam family "Bacterial small subunit ribosomal RNA", at positions 29 to 507 of the family's 1533-position model. The record is from RNAcentral.